AACGCGAAGAACCUUACCAAGGCUUGACAUAUGCCGGAAAGCCGUAGAGAUACGGUCCCCCUUGUGGUCGGUAUACAGGUGGUGCAUGGUUGUCGUCAGCUCGUGUCGUGAGAUGUUGGGUUAAGUCCCGCAACGAGCGCAACCCUCGUUCUGUGUUGCCAGCGGGUUAUGCCGGGGACUCACAGGAGACUGCCGGGGUCAACUCGGAGGAAGGUGGGGACGACGUCAAAUCAUCAUGCCCCUUAUGUCUUGGGCUGCACACGUGCUACAAUGGCCGGUACAAUGAGCUGCGAUACCGCGAGGUGGAGCGAAUCUCAAAAAGCCGGUCUCAGUUCGGAUUGGGGUCUGCAACUCGACCCCAUGAAGUCGGAGUUGCUAGUAAUCGCAGAUCAGCAUUGCUGCGGUGAAUACGUUCCCGGGCCUUGUACACACCGUAGUAC
RNAcentral lists this ribosomal RNA (440 nucleotides) under uncultured bacterium. RNAcentral's name for it is "bacterial SSU rRNA". It matches the Rfam family "Bacterial small subunit ribosomal RNA", at positions 958 to 1398 of the family's 1533-position model. The record is from RNAcentral.